RNAcentral lists this ribosomal RNA (235 nucleotides) under uncultured bacterium. RNAcentral describes it as "partial 16S ribosomal RNA". It matches the Rfam family "Bacterial small subunit ribosomal RNA", at positions 96 to 334 of the family's 1533-position model. The record is from RNAcentral.
UGGCGGACGGGUGAGUAAUGUCUGGGAAACUGCCUGAUGGAGGGGGAUAACUACUGGAAACGGUAGCUAAUACCGCAUAACGUCGCAAGACCAAAGAGGGGGACCUUCGGGCCUCUUGCCAUCGGAUGUGCCCAGAUGGGAUUAGCUAGUAGGUGGGGUAACGGCUCACCUAGGCGACGAUCCCUAGCUGGUCUGAGAGGAUAACCAGCCACACUGGAACUGAGACACGGUCCAG